CCUACGGGUGGCAGCAGUGAGGAAUAUUGGUCAAUGGGCGCGAGCCUGAACCAGCCAAGUAGCGUGAAGGAUGACUGCCCUACGGGUUGUAAACUUCUUUUAUAAAGGAAUAAAGUGAGGCACGUGUGCCUUUUUGUAUGUACUUUAUGAAUAAGGAUCGGCUAACUCCGUGCCAGCAGCCGCGGUAAUACGGAGGGUGCAAGCGUUAUCCGGAUUUAAUGGGUGUAAAGGGGGCGCAGAGGGGGAUGAAAGCCAGGUGUGAAAGACCGGGGCGCAACCCGGGGACUGCGGUUGGAACUGGGUGGCGGGAGGGGAGGAGGGGCAGGCGGAGUUCGUGGUGUAGCGGUGAAAUGGGUAGAU
RNAcentral lists this ribosomal RNA (360 nucleotides) under uncultured bacterium. RNAcentral describes it as "partial 16S ribosomal RNA". It matches the Rfam family "Bacterial small subunit ribosomal RNA", at positions 338 to 695 of the family's 1533-position model. The record is from RNAcentral.